Molecule: ribosomal RNA, 583 nt
Filed under: uncultured bacterium
Lineage: Bacteria
Description: partial 16S ribosomal RNA
Rfam family: Bacterial small subunit ribosomal RNA
Source: RNAcentral
UGGGGAAUUUUGGACAAUGGGCGAAAGCCUGAUCCAGCAAUGCCGCGUGUGUGAAGAAGGCCUUCGGGUUGUAAAGCACUUUUGUCCGGAAAGAAAUCCUUGGCUCUAAUACAGUCGGGGGAUGACGGUACCGGAAGAAUAAGCACCGGCUAACUACGUGCCAGCAGCCGCGGUAAUACGUAGGGUGCAAGCGUUAAUCGGAAUUACUGGGCGUAAAGCGUGCGCAGGCGGUUUGCUAAGACCGAUGUGAAAUCCCCGGGCUCAACCUGGGAACUGCAUUGGUGACUGGCAGGCUAGAGUAUGGCAGAGGGGGGUAGAAUUCCACGUGUAGCAGUGAAAUGCGUAGAGAUGUGGAGGAAUACCGAUGGCGAAGGCAGCCCCUGGGCCAAUACUGACGCUCAUGCACGAAAGCGUGGGGAGCAAACAGGAUUAGAUACCCUGGUAGUCCACGCCCUAAACGAUGUCAACUAGUUGUUGGGGAUUCAUUUCCUUAGUAACGUAGCUAACGCGUGAAGUUGACCGCCUGGGGAGUACGGUCGCAAGAUUAAAACUCAAGGAAUUGACGGGGUCAUAGCUGUUUCCU